UUCCAAACACUCAAAAAGGUUGUUGGAACAAGAUUGGAGGCUAGGGUUUGAAGGUGUUUAUCUUGUGGCAAGACGAAGAGUCAAGAUUGUUUGUGUGCCUUCUUGUUUAAGGGAUGUAUCUCUUUCCCUUUUUAAAUAACUCUAAAUCCAUGUAUUUCACACUUGAAUUAGUAAGUGUACAUGGUGGUUUUGAAUCAAAUGAAAUGGGUUUUGACACCUAAUAAUGCAUGAUGAUGAUUCUUAUUUAUACUUGUGUUGAUACAAGUUAUUGAUGGUAGUUCAACAUAUGGGUCUUGAGUAAUCCUAGUCUUGAUGAUAUCUAUCAUUAAAAUGACCUUGUUAUAAGUAUGCAUAAAAGGUGUUUGUGAAAAUAUCUAUGUGAAUUAUCUAGUCAAUUGUUGAUGAGGUGUUGAACUAGGGCAAUGGCCCAAUGAGUCUGAAUGUUUGAUUAAUGUUGUGAUAAGAGUAUUAUGAUCAAUGUAAUAUGUAAUUGAUGAUGUUGUUAAGCUAAUGUAUAGUAAAAGGGUGAAGUCCCUUAAUAUGAAGAUGAACUUGAAUAGUAUAUUGAACUAAAGUGUGGCAUGAGAAUGCCAUUGAGAUGUACAUGUCUUAUGAAGGUCUUGAGGACCAUAAAAUGAAUUAUGUGAUGAUUUUAAUGAAGGCAUUGGAUUAUUGAAAUGGUUAAGCAAUAAAGGCUCCCAUAAGGACUAUUGGGUCUUGUAUAGUGAUUGAAUUGGCUAAAUGGUUAAAGUACCUAACUCUUGUGUUGAAUGUGCAUUGAUGCAUAGACAAGAGGGUAAAGUUCCAAAUGUCAACUAAUGACGGUGGUGAUGCCUUGAGGUUAAAUUCCCUUGCCUUAUGUAAUGGCUUAAUGUUAAAGGCCCUUGCCCAUUAUAUGACUUGUAGUUAAAGUACCUUGACCAAUUAAAAUGAAAGGUAAAGUCCAUUGCAUAAGAAGAGCUUGUGAGGUCAAAGUGCCUUGCCUCAUGAAGAGGCUUGUGGUAAUGUCCACAUAUAGCAUGCGGUUAGAGUCCCAUUUCUAACAAAUGGGCAUGAGGUUAAAGUCUCUUGUUAAAUGAUGAAGAUGUGUGGGUAAAGUCCCUUGUUGAAUGAUGAAUAUAUGUGGGUAAAGUCCCUUGUUGUAUGAUUAAUAUGUACGGUUAAAGUCCCUUGUUGAAUGCCGAAUAUGUGUGGGUAAAGUCCCUUGUUGAAUGCUGAAUAUGUGUGGGUAAAGUCCAUUGAUUGAAUGAUUGUGAAUAUGGUUAAAGUCCUUGGCUAAUGAAUGUGUGUGCAUGGGUAAAGUCCCUAAUUUAAUGAUAAUGUGAUUGUGGUUGAAGUCCUUAGCAUGAUGAGAAUGAUGAGUCUAUGACUGUGGGAGGUGGUAGUCCUCUACUGCAUGUCUAAUGAAUGAAUACUUGAGAAUAAUGAUAAGUUUCGAUAAGAUAUCUUGAUUAGCAUAUGAUAUAUCAAUAUAUGUGGAUAAGUGUGUGAAUAAGAUGAAAUGCGAUAUAUUGUCUUGUUGUUGAAUGAUGAUGUUAUUUUAUCACUUAUCCUUAAGUUACAUGCUAGAGUUCCAACCGCUAACUGUCUCCAGAUGCUACAUCCUUAUAUGACACGGGGCCCAAAGCAUCUUCUUCUUUACCUGCACAGUGAUUAGUAGAUCGAGAUGAUUCAUGCUUGACUUGAAGCGGUGAGCUUCCUUACUUCAGAAUACGUCACCUCUUGGUCUCUAUAAUUAGACUUAGUCUCUUUAAGACUUGGUUUGGUUAUGGUCGGGGGCUUAUCCUGACAAAUACACUUUUUGACUUCGGUAUUGUAUAGAGGUAUUGUGAACAACUAUGAACUUGGGUGUAGUUAUCGUAAUGAAUAUAAUGAUGACUUAUGUUAUUAUUUAUGAUAUUCUAAUAUGUGGGUUUGUUCCCCUUUGACUCCUAUGGUGUGUUGAGACACUUAGGUUGGGUUAUCAGGGGGACUGUUGGUUCAUGUGAGAUUGAGGUGCCCAUACGACAUGGUCUGAAGUUCGGAUCGUGUCAAGCUCGGUGAAAUAGACAUAUUUGUAAAGAUGUGGAUUACCUGCACCUGGAUAAAAAGACCCUAUGAAGCUUCACUGUUCCCUGGGAUUGGCUUUGGUCCUUUCCUGUGCAGCUUAGGUGGAAGGCAAAGAAGGCCUCUUUCUGUGGGGGUCGAGCCAUCAGUGAUAUACCACUCUGGAAGGGCUAGAAUACUAACCUUAUAUCAAGACCUAUGAGCCAACGGACAAUCUCAGGUCAACAGUUUCUAUGGGGCGUAGGCCUCCCAAAAGGUAAUAUAGGCGUGCAAAGGUUUCCUAGGGUCGAACGAAGAUUAUACCUCGAGUGCAAAGGUAGAAGGAGAUUGACUGCAAGAACCACUCAUCGUUCAGGGACGAAAGUCUACCUUAGUGAUUCAACGGUGCCGAUUUGUCGUUCAACAAAGAAAAGUUACUCUAGGGAUAACAGGCUGAACUUCCCCAAGAGUUCACAAUGAUGGGAAGGUUUGGCACCUCGAUGUCAGCUCUUAGCCACCUGGGACUGAAGUAUGUUCCAAGGGUUGGGAUGUUCGGCCAUUAAAGCAGUACAUGAGCUGGGUUUGGAACGUUGUAAGACAGUUAGGUCCAUAUUCGGUGUGGGUUUUAGAGCAUUGAGAAAACCUUUACCUAGUAUGAGAGGACUGGUAAGGAUGCACCACUGGUGUACCAAUUAUCGUGCCCAUGUUAUACGCUAGGUAGCCAAGUAUGGAGCAGAUAACUGCUGAAAGCAUCUAAGUAGUAAGCCCACCCCAAGAUGAGUGCUCUCCUAUUUUGAAUUCACUAGAGCUUUUGGUAGCACAGUCGAGACGACUACGAGUUCUCUUCCCCUGUGAGGAUAGAGCGACAGAAGUUCAUUUGAGAAUUUAAAAGAAGGUCAUGACGAGAUGAGCCAUUUAUCAUUACGAUAGGUGUCAAGUGUACGUACAGUGAUGAAUACAGAUGAGGCAUCCUAACAGACCGGUAGACUUAAAU
Molecule: ribosomal RNA, 3019 nt
Filed under: Capsicum chinense (habanero)
Lineage: Eukaryota; Viridiplantae; Streptophyta; Magnoliopsida; Solanales; Solanaceae
Description: bacterial LSU rRNA
Rfam family: Bacterial large subunit ribosomal RNA (bases 2052-3008)
Source: RNAcentral